RNAcentral lists this ribosomal RNA (619 nucleotides) under Melasma scabrum. RNAcentral describes it as "eukaryotic LSU rRNA". The stretch from base 235 to 390 matches the Rfam family "5.8S ribosomal RNA". Lineage: Eukaryota; Viridiplantae; Streptophyta; Magnoliopsida; Lamiales; Orobanchaceae. The record is from RNAcentral.
UUUCCGUAGGUGAACCUGCGGAAGGAUCAUUGUCAAAACUUUCAUAGACAACCGCGAACCUGUUUCAAUAAUUUGGGCAAAUCGCGUGGGGUAACUCGGUGGUAUGUCCUUUCCCGCAUGGGCUGUGGGCUAACAAACUCCGGCGCGGCAUGCGCCAAGGAAAUUUAAUGGGAACGUCCGCCCCAAUCGCCCCGUUUUGCGGAAGCGAGGGGGGAUGUGCCUCAAUGUCUAAACGACUCUCGGCAACGGAUAUCUCGGCUCUCGCAACGAUGAAGAACGUAGCGAAAUGCGAUACUUGGUGUGAAUUGCAGAAUCCCGUGAACCAUCGAGUUUUUGAACGCAAGUUGCGCCCAAAGCCUCUUGGCCGAGGGCACGCCUGCCUGGGCGUCACGCAUCGCGUUGCCUCUUCUUGCCCAUGGAUAAUGGCCUCCCGUGCGCGUUAGCUUGCGGUUGGCUUAAGUUGUAUGUCGUGGCCCACACUGUCACAACAUGCGUUGGUUGAGACUCCUAGUCUUGCUCUCCUGUUGGGUGCGCGUUGCGUCCAUGAGGACCCAUUGGCGUGAACAUUCACGGCUUAGAACGCGACCCCAGGUCAGGCGGGACCACCCGCUGAGUUUAA